Non-coding RNA from Phrynosoma platyrhinos (Desert horned lizard), 72 nucleotides. The record is from the annotation of a GenBank genome assembly. NCBI's taxonomy places the organism in Eukaryota, Metazoa, Chordata, Lepidosauria, Squamata, Phrynosomatidae.
GCCAGCAUGGUGUAGAGGUUUGAGUGUUGGACUUAAAACUCCGGAGACCAUGGUUCAAUUCCCUGCUUGGCC